AAACCAGCACCUCAAGUGGUCAGGAUGAUUAUUGGGCCUAAAGCAUCCGUAGCCUGGUGCAUAAGUUUUCGGUUAAAUCCAUAUGCUCAACAUAUGGGCUGCCGGAAAUACUGUGCACCUAGGGAGUGGGAGAGGUAGACGGUACUCGGUAGGAAGGGGUAAAAUCCUUUGAUCUAUUGAUGACCACCUGUGGCGAAGGCGGUCUACCAGAACACGUUCGACGGUGAGGGAUGAAAGCUGGGGGAGCAAACCGGAUUAGAUACCCGGGUAGUCC
This 274-nucleotide ribosomal RNA is filed under the name uncultured bacterium. Its description in RNAcentral is "partial 16S ribosomal RNA". It matches the Rfam family "Archaeal small subunit ribosomal RNA", at positions 473 to 747 of the family's 1478-position model. The record is from RNAcentral.